RNAcentral lists this ribosomal RNA (468 nucleotides) under uncultured bacterium. Its description in RNAcentral is "partial 16S ribosomal RNA". It matches the Rfam family "Bacterial small subunit ribosomal RNA", at positions 28 to 507 of the family's 1533-position model. The record is from RNAcentral.
GACGAACGCUGGCGGCGUGCUUAACACAUGCAAGUCGAACGGUGAAGCUCCAGCUUGCUGGAGUGGAUCAGUGGCGAACGGGUGAGUAACACGUGAGCAACCUGCCCCUGACUCUGGAAUAAGCGCUGGAAACGGCGUCUAAUACUGGAUACGAGAAGGGUCCGCAUGGGCACUUUCUGGAAAGUUUUUCGGUUGGGGAUGGGCUCGCGGCCUAUCAGCUUGUUGGUGAGGUAAUGGCUCACCAAGGCGACGACGGGUAGCCGGCCUGAGAGGGCGACCGGCCACACUGGGACUGAGACACGGCCCAGACGCCUACGGGAGGCAGCAGGGGGGAAUAUUGCACAAUGGGCGAAAGCCUGAUGCAGCGACGCCGCGUGAGGGACGACGGCCUUCGGGUUGUAAACCUCUUUCAGCAGGGAAGAAGCGAAAGUGACGGUACCUGCAGAAGAAGCACCGGCUAACUACGUG